Molecule: long non-coding RNA, 7801 nt
Filed under: Theobroma cacao (cacao)
Lineage: Eukaryota; Viridiplantae; Streptophyta; Magnoliopsida; Malvales; Malvaceae
Description: long non-coding RNA (TCAC_LNC000591)
Source: RNAcentral
AAAAGCUUAAACAUAGUUCAGAAGGUUUGGCUAACAAAACCAUGGCAGCACAUCUACGGCGCCAGAAGAAUGGGAAUACAAAUGUUUUCAAUUCAGCUCAGGCAUGGCCAGUAACAAGUCGCAGGCCUGUGCAAGCAUCAAAUAUCCCUUUGCAAGAUUCUUCUUUUCCUCCUCUCCGCAUUGGUCCCAGCACCAGCCAACAAAAGCCUAAACAUAGCUCAGAAGGUUUGGCUAACAACACCAUGACAGCACAUCUACGGCGCCAGAAGAAUGGGAAAACAACUGUUUUCAAUUCAGGUCAGGCAUGGCCAGUAACAAGUCGCAGGCCUACAUCCCGAUGUCUUUAAGCUUAAUUUAUUAGAUUUCAACUCUAUCAUCUAGGCUUACUGAAAAAUGUAACCGUUUCUUUUUAAUGUUAAAAUAUAUAGUUUGUUCCAAUUUUUAGAUUAAAAUGUAAUAUACAGUUUCUUCACGCUUUUUACUAACACUUAAAUUAAAAAAUAUAUAUAACACCAAUGAGGUCAUGAUGCUUGAACUCAGUAGAGACUCUAACAAAUUAACCACUCUUACUAUCAAGACUAACAAUUUAAUCCAUUGAACCCUCGUUGAUUUUAAAUUUUUUGUGGUACUAUAAACACAAAAUAAAAUGGAACAUCCAAGCGCCUUGGUAAAAAUUUGUGGACUAGCAUCUCCAGCAUUGAUGUUCUCAUUUCAGAGUAGUGCCCUUAAAGGUCAAACAAACCGAUGUCCUCAUCGCCUUGACUCUAACGUGCAUCUUAAAAUUACUUGUGGACGUGAAAAACACGACUAAGGGGAUAAACAAUGCUGCGUCAUCUCAUACGCAAACAACCUACCACCUUCGAUUCCCUCUGCCACCCAUUUUACUUUUGGUCGCACCUGAUUUUUAAAAGCAAAGAACCCAGACACUGUCACGGUUACAUUCCUACUCCCGCUCAUUCAACACCUAGUUCAAUGAAUCCUAAAGGCACCGUCGUUUUCACCUCCGUUGGGAGGCCACAAUACGGCUUCGACAUCUUUACCGUCAAUCUCAAUCAAACUCCCAUCACCAACUCCACCCCUGAACAUCGCCUUACUGACUGUAUUUCCAUCAACUUCAAUGCUCAAUUCAUAAACGAAGAUCAAUCCAUCGUCUUUAUCUCUGAACGAUCGGGGUCCCCUCGGAUUUACCUCACCCACCCGGACCUACCCAAGCCCGAGCAGCUCCCAUCUGCCCCCAGCAGCCUCUUCCACGAUCGACCCAUCAUCCAAAACCACCGCCUUUACUUCAUUUCAGCUCAUGAACAACCUGAUCAACCUUUCAAGAGCUGGUCCGCUCUUUACUCAACCGAGCUCCGCGGUAAAAGAGACACUACAAGGUUGUCUCCUUACGGGGUUGCUGACUACAGUCCUGCUAUUUCAAAAUCUGGGAAAUUUGUAGCCGUUGCCUCAUACGGUUCUCGGCCUUGGGAAGGUGAUUUUCACGAGCUCAAAACGGAUAUAGUUGUUUUCCCAGUAUCCUACCCGAAUAACCGUUUUGUUGUUUGUGAGAAAGGCGGUUGGCCCACUUGGUCAGGUGACUCCACCAUUUUCUUUCACCGCCAAGCCGACGAUGGCUGGUGGAGCAUUUUCCGUCUCGAGUUUCCGGAAAAUCCUAUUGAAUUUUCUGGGUUCCCAGUCCUUCCUCUUCGUGUCACUCCACCUGGUCUCCACUGCUUCACUGCGGCCGCAUUCCAUGACGGAAAACGAAUCGCAGUAGCCACUAGGCGGCGCGGCAAGAAUUACAGACAUAUCGAGGUUUUCGACCUCGAAUCGAAGGUUUUUCACCAAGUGACUGAGUUGCUCAACCCGAGUUUUCAUCAUUAUAACCCGUUUGUCUCCCUCAACUCUGAAUUCCUCGGGUACCACAGGUUCAGAGGUGAGUCGACUCAGGGUGAGUCCACGGUUCCACAUAUCGAGCCAGUCAUGUCUCCGUUAAAAAAUCUACGUAUGCUGCGACUCAACGGAUCAUUCCCUUCCUUCUCUCCCGACGGUGAUCUUCUAGCCUUAAAUCCCACUUUGGAUGAAAGCGGAGGCAUUAAAGUUGUCAAAUCGAACGGCUCGAAACGAUGGACCUUGAUAAAGGGCCGUACGGCAUUUUAUAACUCGUGGAGCCCCACUGAGAAACACGUGAUUUACACUUCCCUAGGCCCGAUAUUCGAGUCAGUUAAAACAACGGUGCAGGUCGCACGAAUCACAUUUGACCCGUCUGAUUUCAACGGUGAUCUUGAAGAGAUCCCUGGCGAUGUAAAGAUGCUUACGCGAGAAGAUACAGGGAAUAACGCCUUCCCGUCUUGCUCCCCUGAUGGAAAGUCCCUCGUGUUCCGUUCCGGCCGUUCUGGACAUAAGAAUCUUUACAUACUUGACGCCGUUAACGGUGAAUUUAACGGCGGUAUACGGAAGUUAACCGACGGUCCUUGGAUUGAUACGAUGCCGUCUUGGUCCCCCAGCGGAGAUCUCAUAGCGUUUUCUUCCAACAUGCAUAAUCCGGAUAGAGUUGAUGCCUUCAGCAUUUACGUGAUUAAACCGGAUGGCUCUGAUCUCAGGAGGAUUUACGUGGCGGGACCGAAGGGGUCGAGUGACGUGGACAGGGAGAGAAUUAACCACGUAUGUUUUAGCCAGGAUGGAGAGUGGCUGCUGUUCGCGACAAACAUAGGAGGCGUGACUGUUGAGCCGGUGUCGUGGCCCAAUCAGUUCCAGCCAUAUGGGGAUUUGUAUGUGGUGAGGUUGGAUGGGAGUGGAUUGAGGAGGCUGACGUGGAAUGGGUUUGAGAAUGGGACGCCAGCAUGGCACCCCGGGAGCGAGCUGGAUAUGGGGCGUUUGUGUUUGGGAAAUGAAGCUGGGGUUAAACUUAAAGGUGACUUUGAGGAACCAUUAUGGAUUACUUGUGAUUUUGCUUAGAGUUUCUUGAUUUCUCUUAUCCUCGUUGCUUGCUAUUGUUGACCCCCACGGGUUUAUUGUAACUAAUUGGAGUAAAUAAAAUUACUAUGGAAAUAUUAGUGUGAUAAUUUAUAUUUACGUAAUAUUUCCAUAACAAAAUAUUAAUGUUUUUAGACGUUUUGGUAUUAAAGUUAAUGACUGAAACCUAAUAUUAAGACAAAUUAUAAAACAACAAAAAUUGGUAUAUGGUGAAAAAUCAUUAGACACAUUGACAUACAUUUAUUAUCGAUCAUCAAAUGCGUGUACAUAUGGUGAAAAUUAUGUAUAUUUAAUUAUUUGAUUAGUAAUGUAAAAUAGCAUACAAAUGAUCAAAUAAAUUAUAAAUAUUAUUACUAUUAAUAAUUAAAAACAAAAAUUGUUUCAUGAAAUAAAUACUUUGGAUGAGGAAAAUAAACUGAAAUAUAUUACCUUCACGUGUUUGAGAAUGUAAAACCAAAACAACACUUAAAAAGAUACCAAAAAAAAAAAUAACAUAAUAUAAAAUUAAAAAAGUUUUUUCAAAAUAUGUCAAAGGUUAUUUGAAAGGCGAUGAAAUCAAUUAGGGCAAGGCUGAGAAACAUAAAUUAAGCAACACAAAACAAAAUUGUAAUCUCCAAAAGAAUAUUUGAUGAAAGAUUAUUAUUAUUAUUAUUAUUAUUAUUAUUUUCUUUAUUAUGAUAAAUUAAUUGUUAUCGCUUGAAAAACAAAAGAGCAUUUUCUGUUGUCCUUUUUCUCUCUUAUUUAUAGUUAUUGAAUUUUCUCAAUAAUAAGAAGAAGAAAUUAAGGAUAAAUAAAAGUCAGUAUUUAUGCACUUAUAUAGAUCUUCUUUAGUUAAACAUUUAGUUGGAAAAGAUUUAAGCAUAAUAUCUAAAAAAAUUUAAAUAAGUCUUUAUAUUUUUAUUGUAUUGAGUCAAAUUCAUAUACUUUUAUUUUGAAUCACAUAAGUUUGUAUAUUUUUUUUAAUCUAAUAAGCCUUUAUGACUAAAUAUUGAUUUAGUCAAAAUAUCAUUCAUUAUUUUAUAUUGCAUGACCCUGACGUAAUAUGUUAAUAUAUUAUAAUUGAUAAUGACAUGAUAUUCUAAUUUGAUAUGAUGGUAUAAUUAUGUGACAUUGUUCAUCUUUCAUAUCAAUGCUAUGAAGAUAUAAAAUAAUAAGUGAUAUUUUAAUUAAUAAUAAUUAAUCGAUUAGUAAUUAAAAUAGUUUAUUUGAAUCAAAAUACAAAUACAAAAACUUGAUUAAACGUAAUGAAAAAAUAAAAAUUUAUUUAAUUUUUUUAACAAUAUAGAAACUUAUUUAAAUAUUACAUCAACAACUUAUUACGUGAUUAUAUUUUUUUUAUGCUUGAUUUCAACCUUAUAUAGAGUGGUUUUUACUCGCUUUUAUAAAAGUGGUGUGCAGUCCACAUGUUGAAUCAGAUAAAUAAGAUGCUUAUUGAACGUGGUCAUUAAUACUAUUUUUAGUAAGAUGGAAAUAGAAAAAAUAAAGUGAAGAGUGGAAGAAAAAUAAUGUUUUUUUUUUAAACAUAGUUUGGUAGGAAGAAGCAGGGUACGAAAUUAGAUGAAUUACAUGUUGUCAUCGUUCUAAAGUAGUAGUAUUUUUGUACGGCACAUGGCCUCCUUCUUAUGACCAGAAAAUCAAGUUUGUCAACUUUAGACUUAAAAAAUAUUUGGUCAAAAUCAGUCCUCAUUUAAAUCAUGAAUGUCCCUCUAUGUUCUCUUUAUCUACUGUAAAGCUUUCUUGGUCUGCAAGUAGGCUGGCUUCCUAAUUUAUUCACUAUAAUCUUUUACAAUAUUAAUAGUGAUUCUUUUCUUUUGGCAAUUGACUCGACUUGAUCAAAUCAAGUUUGGUUGAUGAACAAUUGUUAUUUCAACAAUUUAAAAAUUUGGGUAUUCAAAAUUAACACUAUUUAUUUUCAGAUAUUUAAUAGUAACAUACCAACAUCAAAAUUCUCCUCAAUUUUAAUUUAUGAAUUAUAAAACCUAAAAGCGCACACAUAUAUAUAUAUAUUUAUUUAUUUUAGUGGAAUAAAAUUUAGAAGCCAAAAUAGAUUAAAACGGAUGGGUUUCUCCUUUUCCUUUUUUAUUUAUGGAUAAAAGACCGUGCUCCUUAUUUUUGGAAAAAACAUAAGUUAAAAAAAAUAAAAAAUUAUAAAUAUAUAAGUAAACGUAAUUUGAUUGAAACUUUUAAAUUAAAUUUAACUAAAAUUAGAAUUAAAGGGAUAGUUAGCUUCUAAAUACACAGCUCACUUCAUUUAUAAAAUACAUACUUCAAUAAGAUGUUAUUACUCUUCUAAAUAUUUUUUUAAUUUAUAUUUUAUAACAAAAACGAAUUUUUGUGGCGUGAGGAACAUUAUUCACCACUUUAUUUCCCAAUUUUCAUCCAUUAAUAUUCCCUCCAGAGAUUUUGUUUAUUUAGACAUCAAGAAAUCUAGCAAGCAGAAUAUAACCGGUCACACUAUUCUUUCCUCACCUUCCAAGUUCCCGGUAGGUAGCUUCCCGAAUCCGUGCGCCGCCUCCUGUCCUCCAAAUCUCACGUAAUCAACUAAUUAUCUUUUUUAUUUUCCCUUAACCAAACCACGAUUGCCAUAUAUGGAAUAUUAUUGUCAUAAUCUAUAAAUCUGAAUUAAUUCUGUCUGUGCAAAACAUAAACCCUAGAUCUCCAUAUCUUUAUUAUUUUCUCCGCAGAUUAACUUCCAAUCGAUCGGUAUAGCGGUUAGGGUUUUUUUUUUUGAAGAAUAUUAUCAAGAAACAGAGAUGGACGACAGCUGUGCGGUUUGCGCUGACAAUUUGGAAUGGGUUGCCUACGGCGCUUGUGGUCACCGGGAAGUGUGCUCCACCUGCGUCGCACGUCUACGCUUCAUCUGCAACGAUGGCCGUUGCUGCAUCUGCAAGACUGAGUCCAAUGUCAUCUUCGUCACUAAGGUUAGGGCUUUCUUCUUUCUUUUCAUCGCCAAUCUCAAUUUCAUUGUAAUUAUACCGUUCGAUAUUGUUUUUGUUUGAUUUAAUUAGCCAAUUCUUUCAAAACUUUACUGGAGAGUACCGAUCGUUGUGCCAAGCCUAAGUUGUCUGUUACUUUUUUUUAUAUAUAUGUUAUAUAUAAAAGUCUUCGUGGUUCUGGUUUCGUUCCAGGCUUUGGGGGAUUACACAAGGAUGAUCAGUGACUUUUCUGUAUUGCCAUCUGAAGUGAGAGAAGGACGGGUGGGAUCUUUUUGGUACCAUGAGGAUACACAAGCCUUUUUCGAUGAUGUUGAUCACUACAGGAUGAUCAAAGCAAUGUGCAGACUUUCUUGUAGUGUAUGUGACAAGAUGGAAGAGCAGUCGAAUGAGGGGGCGAAACGACGGGCAAAGUUUAGGAACAUUGAACAGUUGAAGGGUCAUUUGUUUCAUCGACAUAAAUUGGUUAUGUGCAGCCUGUGUUUGGAAGGACGGAAGGUAAGUUGUUCAAAUGAAAAUAUGACCAUUCUGUUUCGUUAAAACUGUAAACCCAUUGUUCUUUUUGAAGUGUCUUUGUUUGUACAUCAAUAAAAGCUGGCUGUAUGCAUCAUUAGCUCACUGGUUUCCUUUGGAUGAUGUAGGUGUUUAUCUGUGAACAAAAGCUAUAUACUAGAGCACAGCUAAACCAACAUAUAAACACGGGUGAUUCUGAGGUGGAUGGAACUGAAAGUGAGAGAGGUGGCUUCAUGGGGCAUCCAAUGUGUGAAUUCUGCAAGACCCCAUUCUAUGGGGAUAAUGAGUUAUACUCUCACAUGUCCACAGAGCACUAUACAUGUCAUAUAUGCCAAAGGUACUCAGGCUAUUCUUGGUACUGAUUUUUGCAAUACACCUUAAAGCAAGUGGGCUUACUUUUGCUUGUUCAAUGUUCAAUGCAGGCAGCAUCCAGGACAGUAUGAAUAUUACAAGAAUUAUGAUGACCUUGAGGCAAGAUGACUCCUAUAUUUCUUUGCUUUUCUUUUUUAUUUCUUUUUCUCCUCUUAAAGUUAAAGUCAAAUGUCAUUUUGGAAAUUGUCUGCCACAGAUUCAUUUUCGCCGAGAUCAUUACCUAUGUGAGGAUGAGGCUUGCCUUGCCAAAAAGUUUAUUGUCUUUCAGUCUGAAGCUGAACUAAAGGUGACUUCUUCGAGCAUAUAAAUUAUGUGCAUAAUAUAUUUUGUUUGAUUAUGUCCUAGUAUAGCUCAAGUUUUCCUUUUCUCAUAAACUGUUCUUAUUGUUUUUCAUUUUUGUUCUUUCAGAGGCAUAAUACAAUGGAACAUGGAGGUCGCAUGUCUCGUGCACAGCGUAAUGCUGCUCUACAAGUAUGUAUAAUCCGUCUGAUCAAAGGACUUCUCAUAAGUUGAAUUUCCUAAUUGAUUGUAUCCACUGAUGAGUUGGUUACUUUUUGUGGUUUUGUUAAUUGAUUGUACUUUUUCCAGAUACCAACAAGCUUUCGAUAUCGUCGAAGUAAUGAAGAUAAUCGCCGUGGAAGAGGACGGACAUUUCGGCGUGAGCUGUCUGAUAACGACUAUCAACUUUCCAUGGCCAUUGAGGCAAGUUUGGGGACUGCUGGUGAUCUGCAAGCAUCAUCUACCGCACAGGUGGUCUCUGAUCAUGCAGAUACAAAUGAUAUUGACGCACUUGUUCAGCCUUUUGAAUUAUUAUCUACAACAGAUUCUGAAUCAUCGGCAAGAUACCUUCAAGCAUUGGGGGGAGGCUCCAGGGGUGCACCUUUGCAAGAAUCUUCUUUUCCUCCUCUCCCCAUUGGUCCCAGCACCAGCCAACAAAAGCCUAAACGUAGCUCAGAAGGUUUGGCUAACAACACCAUGGCAGCACAUCUACGGUGCCGGAAGAAUGGGAAUACAAAUGUUUUCAAUUC